Rhineura floridana is the source of this 346-nucleotide long non-coding RNA. RefSeq lists it as uncharacterized. The transcript has 3 exons. Lineage: Eukaryota; Metazoa; Chordata; Lepidosauria; Squamata; Rhineuridae. The record is from RefSeq and is a predicted model, not a curated record.
CUCCCAUUGACGCUGAGAGCUUUCUUCUUUCUUAACUGGGGAAGGCUCACGACAUAAACAGCUGCAGGGCAAGUUCAGAGGGGAUGAUAUGUCGACUACGACUUAUGGCAACCCUAUGAAUCAGUGACCUCCAAGAGCAUCUGUUAUGAACCACCCUGUUCAGAUCUUGUGUGGUGAUGGCUACCAACUUGGAUGGCUUUGAAAGAGGAUUGGACAAAUGCAUGGAGGAUCAAAGGCUAUCAAUGGCUACAAGGAAUGUCAAAGAAUUCCAGAUGGAAACAGAAAUAGGUGCAGAAAUUGCAGCUGUUUGCCUAUUUGUCAUGCGAUUGUAACAGGCAUUUGUUGA